RNAcentral lists this ribosomal RNA (170 nucleotides) under uncultured Coriobacteriaceae bacterium. RNAcentral's name for it is "partial 16S ribosomal RNA". It matches the Rfam family "Bacterial small subunit ribosomal RNA", at positions 338 to 525 of the family's 1533-position model. The record is from RNAcentral. Lineage: Bacteria; Bacillati; Actinomycetota; Coriobacteriia; Coriobacteriales; Coriobacteriaceae.
CCUACGGGAGGCAGCAGUGGGGAAUUUUGCGCAAUGGGCGAAAGCCUGACGCAGCAACGCCGCGUGCGGGAUGAAGGCCUUCGGGUUGUAAACCGCUUUCAGUGGGGACGAAAAUGACUGUACCCACAGAAGAAGCCCCGGCUAACUACGUGCCAGCAGCCGCGGUAAUA